RNAcentral lists this transfer RNA (61 nucleotides) under Atractolytocestus huronensis. RNAcentral describes it as "tRNA-Val". Lineage: Eukaryota; Metazoa; Platyhelminthes; Cestoda; Caryophyllidea; Lytocestidae. The record is from RNAcentral.
UGCGGUGUAGUUUAAUUAAAAUUAUUAUUUUACACAUAAUGGAUCCCCUGCGGCACUGUAA